CUUAUUGAAUCUGUAUACUUAGUAGGUUAUAUUAGGGGUAGUUGAGGUCAUAUUAGGGGUAAAUGAAGUUUGCGGUGAGCUUAGUUCAUGGAUGGAUUUUAAAUGGUUGAAACAUGGUUCGGUCGCUGGUUUGAAGCAAAGCAUGCCAUAAGGUCAUUGACACUGCAGAAAUGAAAACAUUUAGAUCUAAAUUGUAUCAAAAAGUGUAUUAAAUUUGCAUUGUACAUCCAGGAUCCUCUCUAAAAAUGCAGGAAAGUAGAGACUGGAAAGUGCAAAGUCGCAAAGAGGAAGCAUAUAGUAUAUCUCACUCCGGAAUUUCCACUUCAGACACACAUCCUGAAGUUGAGGGGACACUGGAAACUUGUCCGAUUGUCUUCUAUCAGCAUGCCAACCCUGUUUCCAGGCAGAAGAGAGAAGAGAUUUUCCAGACUCCACAAACUCAAGGAGACAGUUUGUGCAGAAUAAAUAAUUAAAUGGAAUUUUGGAGAGGGAUUAAUCAAGAACAGCUUACCUUUGCCUCUGAGAAUAUGUUUACAUGUUUGUACAUAUGUCCUUGAAAGCAGUUUUCCUUUACAUGCCAUGUUUUUCCCAGAUAGAGGAACUGCAGUCGUAAUUUUUAAGCUACAGGGUUAAACUGAGGCAAUAUCUGUUACAUUUCACAAUUUUGCCCAGUUUUAUUGUGAUAAACAUAUAAGGACAUGUUAUACAGUAUAAACUCAGUCUUUUCAAUAGGGAAAAUCAUCUUUUAGACAAAUACUUUUGGAAUCAUAAAAUGUUAUAUUUCUCUAUACCACUUGUCGUGCUUUUAGUAUAAGUAUAGAAAUAUGAGCUGGCUUGCCAUUAUAUUUUGUUGCUCCACAGGAAUUUUUAAAAAAAUGUUCUAGUUUUAGGAAUUUAUGAUUAAUAAAUACAGUCAAGUUUGCAAUUUA
This 929-nucleotide long non-coding RNA is filed under the name Lingula anatina. RNAcentral describes it as "uncharacterized LOC106154564, transcript variant X1". Lineage: Eukaryota; Metazoa; Brachiopoda; Lingulata; Lingulida; Lingulidae. The record is from RNAcentral.